RNAcentral lists this ribosomal RNA (505 nucleotides) under uncultured bacterium. RNAcentral describes it as "partial 16S ribosomal RNA". It matches the Rfam family "Bacterial small subunit ribosomal RNA", at positions 28 to 507 of the family's 1533-position model. The record is from RNAcentral.
GACGAACGCUGGCGGCGUGCCUAAUACAUGCAAGUAGAACGCACAGUUUAUACCGUAGCUUGCUCCACCAUAGACUGUGAGUUGCGAACGGGUGAGUAACGCGUAGGUAACCUGCCUGGUAGCGGGGGAUAACUAUUGGAAACGAUAGCUAAUACCGCAUAAUAUUAAUUAUUGCAUGAUAAUUAAUUGAAAGGUGCAAUUGCACCACUACCAGAUGGACCUGCGUUGUAUUAGCUAGUAGGUGAGGUAACGGCUCACCUAGGCGACGAUACAUAGCCGACCUGAGAGGGUGAUCGGCCACACUGGGACUGAGACACGGCCCAGACUCCUACGGGAGGCAGCAGUAGGGAAUCUUCGGCAAUGGACGAAAGUCUGACCGAGCAACGCCGCGUGAGUGAAGAAGGUUUUCGGAUCGUAAAGCUCUGUUGUAAGAGAAGAACGGGUGUGAGAGUGGAAAGUUCACACUGUGACGGUAGCUUACCAGAAAGGGACGGCUAACUACGUG